UCGACGAUGAAUCUUCUAGCUUGCUAGAAGUGGAUUAGUGGCGCACGGGUGAGUAAUGCAUAGGUUAUGUGCCCUUUAGUCUGGGAUAGCCACUGGAAACGGUGAUUAAUACUGGAUACUCCCUACGGGGGAAAGUUUUUCGCUAAAGGAUCAGCCUAUGUCCUAUCAGCUUGUUGGUGAGGUAAUGGCUCACCAAGGCUAUGACGGGUAUCCGGCCUGAGAGGGUGAUCGGACACGCUGGAACUGAGACACGGUCCAGACUCCUACGGGAGGCAGCAGUAGGGAAUAUUGCUCAAUGGGGGAAACCCUGAAGCAGCAACGCCGCGUGGAGGAUGAAGGUUUUAGGAUUGUAAACUCCUUUUGUUAGAGAAGAUUAUGACGGUAUCUAACGAAUAAGCACCGGCUAACUCCGUGCCAGCAGCCGCGGUAAUACGGAGGGUGCAAGCGUUACUCGGAAUCGCUGGGCGUAAAGAGUGCGUAGGCGGGGUAAUAAGUCAGAUGUGAAAUCCUGUAGCUUAACUACAGAACUGCAUUUGAAACUGUUACUCUGGAGUGUGGGAGAGGUAGGUGGAAUUCUUGGUGUAGGGGUAAAAUCCGUAGAGAUCAAGAGGAAUACUCAUUGCGAAGGCGACCUGCUGGAACAUUACUGACGCUGAUGCACGAAAGCGUGGGGAGCAAACAGGAUUAGAUACCCUGGUAGUCCACGCCCUAAACGAUGGAUGCUAGUUGUUGCCUUGCUUGUCAGGGCAGUAAUGCAGCUAACGCAUUAAGCAUCCCGCCUGGGGAGUACGGUCGCAAGAUUAAAACUCAAAGGAAUAGACGGGGACCCGCACAAGCGGUGGAGCAUGUGGUUUAAUUCGAAGAUACGCGAAGAACCUUACCUAGGCUUGACAUUGAUAG
Molecule: ribosomal RNA, 900 nt
Filed under: uncultured bacterium
Lineage: Bacteria
Description: bacterial SSU rRNA
Rfam family: Bacterial small subunit ribosomal RNA
Source: RNAcentral